RNAcentral lists this ribosomal RNA (253 nucleotides) under uncultured bacterium. Its description in RNAcentral is "partial 16S ribosomal RNA". It matches the Rfam family "Bacterial small subunit ribosomal RNA", at positions 524 to 776 of the family's 1533-position model. The record is from RNAcentral.
UACGUAGGGGGCAAGCGUUGUCCGGAAUUACUGGGCGUAAAGGGCGCGUAGGCGGCCUUCUAAGUCAGACGUGAAAUCCCCCGGCUUAACCUGGGAACUGCGUCUGAUACUGGGAGGCUUGAGUAUGGGAGAGGGAUGUAGAAUUCCAGGUGUAGCGGUGAAAUGCGUAGAUAUCUGGAGGAAUACCGGUGGCGAAGGCGGCAUCCUGGACCAUAACUGACGCUGAGGCGCGAAAGCUAGGGGAGCAAACGGG